GACGAACGCUGGCGGCGUGCUUAACACAUGCAAGUCGAACGGAAAGGCCCUGCUUGCAGGGUACUCGCGUGGCGAACGGGUGAGUAACACGUGGGUGAUCUGCCCUGCACUUCGUGAUAAGCCUGGGAAACUGGGUCUAAUACCGGAUAGGAGCCCUUUUUAGUGUGAUGGUUGGAAGGUUUUUUCGGUGUAGGAUGAGCUCGCGGCCUAUCAGCUUGUUGGUGGGGUAAUGGCCUACCAAGGCGGCGACGGGUAGCCGGCCUGAGAGGGUGGACGGCCACAUUGGGACUGAGAUACGGCCCAGACUCCUACGGGAGGCAGGAGGGGGGAAUAUUGCACAAUGGGCGCAAGCCUGAUGCAGCGACGCCGCGGGGGGGAUGACGGGCUUCGGGUUGUAAACUCGUUUCGCUAGGGACGAAGCUGUUUGUGACGGUACCUAGAUAAGAAGCACCGGCUAACUACGUG
This 465-nucleotide ribosomal RNA is filed under the name uncultured bacterium. Its description in RNAcentral is "partial 16S ribosomal RNA". It matches the Rfam family "Bacterial small subunit ribosomal RNA", at positions 28 to 507 of the family's 1533-position model. The record is from RNAcentral.